UCUUGAGACAAAGAGGGACAAAUUAACAAUAACAUAAGAAAAUAUCACAAAAAUAUUUUCACAAAAGAUCCAGACACGUGCUAAUUCCGUUUCCGAUAUUUAAAAUUAAUAGCUCUGUUUACUUCUUGUUUUGGUACAUUGAACUGCAAUAUCAAAACUCAAUAAUAAUAUUGUUGUUUUAUAUAUAAUAUUAUUGGCUCCUUAAGGAUAGCGCCUUUCCUCUAUGUUUACAACUCAAAAUCAAAACAUGACUUAUCAAAACUGGAAGUACAUAAAUACCUAAACUUUAAACUGAGAAACCAGUCAAAUUAUUUAUAAACAUCAUGAAGCUACUUUUCAUUUGUCUUUGUGUAUUUCUUCUGAUAUUGUCUAGUCGAGGGGAUAAUACGGAAAAAUCGUUUUUCAUUCAAGCCGGAUGUAAAUUUGGAUACGUGAAAUUUGGAAAACUUUGUUUGAGAAGUGGAGAUGUAAUCUGAUCGAGUCUGAAUUUUUCUUUCACCUCAACAUUUUAUUAUGUACCUGAUAUUUUAUUUAUAUUGAGUUAUGUAUUAUUUUAUUUUGUAAAGAAAAUAUAUGUAGUCUAAUUUGCUUUUUAA
This is a long non-coding RNA of Aethina tumida (small hive beetle), 596 nucleotides long. RefSeq lists it as uncharacterized. The transcript is spliced from 2 exons. The record is from RefSeq and is a predicted model, not a curated record. NCBI's taxonomy places the organism in Eukaryota, Metazoa, Arthropoda, Insecta, Coleoptera, Nitidulidae.